CACGUAGGGCGCAAGCGUUGUCCGGAAUUAUUGGGCGUAAAGAGCUCGUAGGCGGUCUGUUACGUCUGCUGUGAAAACCCGGGGCUUAACCCUGGGCUUGCAGUGGAUACGGGCAGACUAGAGGCAGGUAGGGGAGAAUGGAAUUCCCGGUGUAGCGGUGAAAUUCGUAGAUAUUGGGAAGAACACCAGUGGCGAAGGCGGCUAACUGGUCCAGCACUGACGCUGAGGUGCGAAAGCGUGGGGAGCAAACAGG
This 253-nucleotide ribosomal RNA is filed under the name uncultured bacterium. Its description in RNAcentral is "partial 16S ribosomal RNA". It matches the Rfam family "Bacterial small subunit ribosomal RNA", at positions 524 to 776 of the family's 1533-position model. The record is from RNAcentral.